CCUACGGGAGGCUGCAGUGAGGAAUAUUGGUCAAUGGGCGCGAGCCUGAACCAGCCAAGUCGCGUGAGGGAAGACGGUUCUAUGGAUUGUAAACCUCUUUUGUCUGGGAGCAAAAGACGCCACGCGUGGCGUUCCGAGAGUACCCGAAGAAAAAGCACCGGCUAACUCCGGCCCAGCAGCCGCGGUAGUACGGAGGAUGCGAGCGUUAUCGGGAUUAUUGGGGGGUAAAGGGUGGAAGGGCGGAAGGUCAAGUCGGCGUUAAAAGUGUGCGCGUAAACCUCUACGGGCAGAUGAUACUGGUAUUCUAGAGUGAGCGAGAGGUAUGCGGAAUGCGCGGUGUAGCGGUGAAAUGCGUAGAUAUCGCGAGGAACACCGGUGGCGAAGGCAGCAUACCGGACCUCAACUGACGCUGAGGCACGAAAGUGUGGGGAGCGAACAGGAUUAGAUACCCGUGUAGUC
This 459-nucleotide ribosomal RNA is filed under the name uncultured bacterium. RNAcentral describes it as "partial 16S ribosomal RNA". It matches the Rfam family "Bacterial small subunit ribosomal RNA", at positions 338 to 795 of the family's 1533-position model. The record is from RNAcentral.